Molecule: ribosomal RNA, 468 nt
Filed under: uncultured bacterium
Lineage: Bacteria
Description: partial 16S ribosomal RNA
Rfam family: Bacterial small subunit ribosomal RNA
Source: RNAcentral
AACGAACGCUGGCGGCAGGCCUAACACAUGCAAGUCGAACGGCAAAACAGGAGCUUGUUGUUCUGGAUAAUUGCCCGAGGGGUAAGUAACACGUGUACAACCUACCCUAGACUUUCGAAUAGGCUCACGAAACGGCGCCUAAUCCCGGAUACGAUACAGAGCUGCGUGGAUACCGUGUGGAAUUUUGUUCGGGCUGGGAUGAACUCGCGGCUUAUCAGCUUGUUGGUGGGGUAACGGCAGGCCAAGCCAACGACCGGUAGCCGGCCUGCGAGGGGGACCGGCCACACUAGGCCUGAGGUACGGCCCAGACUGGAACGGGAGGCAACGGUGGGGAGUAUUACACAAUGAGCGAGAGCCUGAUGCGGCGACGCCGGGUGGGGGAAGACGGCUUGCGGGUUGUGAAACUCAUCCCGUAGAGAAGAAGCGAUAGUGACGGUACCUGCAGAAGAAGCACCGGCUAACUACGUG